RNAcentral lists this non-coding RNA (26 nucleotides) under Cricetulus griseus (Chinese hamster). Lineage: Eukaryota; Metazoa; Chordata; Mammalia; Rodentia; Cricetidae. The record is from RNAcentral.
CUCGAGGGCUGCUGUGAGGACAGAGA